RNAcentral lists this ribosomal RNA (348 nucleotides) under Triticum aestivum (bread wheat). RNAcentral describes it as "partial small subunit ribosomal RNA". Lineage: Eukaryota; Viridiplantae; Streptophyta; Magnoliopsida; Poales; Poaceae. The record is from RNAcentral.
AUGGCCUGUGUUGUUGUUCCGUUGAAUUUUAAUGCGUUCCUUGAGAAAACAAAGUUGAAAGAUGAUGGUAGCAAUUAUACGGACUGGGUCCGUAACUUGAGGAUUAUCCUCAUUGCUGCAUACAAGGAUUACGUCCUGGAAGCACUGCUGGGUGCCAGGCCUGCUGCAGGAGCAACACCAGAUGUUGUGAACGUCUGGCAGAGCAAAGCUGAUGACUACUCGAUAGUUCAGUGUGCCAUGCUUUACGGCUUAGAACCGGGACUUCAACGACAUUUUGAACGUCAUCGAGCAUAUGAGAUGUUCCAAGAGUUGAAGUUAAUAUUUCAAGCAAAUGCCCGGAUUGAGUGA